Oreochromis niloticus (Nile tilapia) is the source of this 299-nucleotide long non-coding RNA. RefSeq lists it as uncharacterized. The transcript has 3 exons. NCBI's taxonomy places the organism in Eukaryota, Metazoa, Chordata, Actinopteri, Cichliformes, Cichlidae. The record is from RefSeq and is a predicted model, not a curated record.
GGGGAGGUUAUGGUCAACGCGAAACCCAAACAAACCAAAAACGCUUCAAGCAGAAGCCAGAAAGAAUCCUGACCGUCUGAAGUGAGUGUCAAAACAAUGGGAUCUGCAAUCUCUCUGUCAGAGGCCAACAGUGCUUUCUCUCUGGCUUUGCUCAAACAGCUGAGCAACAACAACAAGACGGGAAACAUCUUUUUCUCCCCGUUCAGCAUCUCUUCAGCCCUGGCUAUGGUGAUGCUGGGGGCCAGAGGCAACACAGCCACACAGAUGUCAGAGUGCUUGCAAACCGAGGAUUGUUGGGU